RNAcentral lists this long non-coding RNA (750 nucleotides) under Marmota monax (woodchuck). Lineage: Eukaryota; Metazoa; Chordata; Mammalia; Rodentia; Sciuridae. The record is from RNAcentral.
GGGCCGGGAAGACGGGGGAGGGGGGCUGUCCCCACACCACCUGAGCCCACUCCCCCCUACAGCCAUUGAGACCCUGCUGUGCUACCUGGAGCUGCAUCCCCGGCACUGGCUGGAGCUGCUGCCAACCACCUAUUCCCGCUGUCACCUGCGCUGCCCUGGGGGCCCCACCCAGCUCCAGGCCCUGGCCCACAAGUGAGUACACAGCACCCUGGGUCAGGGAUAUGGACAGAGGGCCAGGGAUGCUAGUCACAUGCCCCUUUCCUCUGGAGCACAGGUGUCCUCUUGCAGCUGCAUGCUGGGCCAGGUGGCCACCUGAGGACAUGGGGCCAGGCAGCAGCUCCAUGGAAUUUGAUGUGGUAGAGCUGGUGAACUCGAUGGGCUGGGAGCUGGCAUCUGUGCAGCAGGCUCUCCGUCAGCUGCAGUGGGACCCAGAGCCCAGGACAGGUGUGCUUGCCCCUACUCCCCCACCCGACUGCCGGCCACCCAUCCACCCUCCCACCCAUCCACCCUACACCUGAUACACUCUGGCAGGUGUGCUGCAGGGAACAGGGGUGAUUGUGGAGUUCAGGGAGCUGGCGUUCCACCUGCGCAGCCCUGGUGAUCUGACUGCUGAGGAGAGGGACGAGGUAUGCGACUUUCUGUUCAACCGUGUGCAGGCCCAAGAGCGCAAGGCCCUGGCACAUCUGCGCCGAAUGUCUGAGGCCUUUCACAGGUAGGAAGUGGGUGGGCAGGUGCUGGGACCAUCCACUC